Non-coding RNA from Potamilus streckersoni, 73 nucleotides. NCBI's taxonomy places the organism in Eukaryota, Metazoa, Mollusca, Bivalvia, Unionida, Unionidae. The record is from the annotation of a GenBank genome assembly.
GCUUCGGUUGCCUAGUGGUUAGAGCGUCCGCUUCCAAUGCGAAAGGUCGCGGCUUCAAGCCCCGGUUGAGGCA